CCUACGGGAGGCAGCAGUGGGGAAUAUUGGGCAAUGGGCGCAAGCCUGACCCAGCAACGCCGCGUGAAGGAAGAAGGCUUUCGGGUUGUAAACUUCUUUUCUCAGGGACGAAGAAAGUGACGGUACCUGAGGAAUAAGCCACGGCUAACUACGUGCCAGCACCCACGGUAAUACGUAGGUGGCAAGCGUUAUCCGGAUUUAUUGGGUGUAAAGGGCGUGUAGGCGGGAGCGCAAGUCAGAUGUGAAACCUCAGGGCUCAACCCUGAGCCUGCAUUUGAAACUGUGUUUCUUGAGUGCUGGGGAGGCAAUCGGAAUUCCGUGUGUAGCGGUGUAAUGCGUAGAUAUACGGAGGAACACCAGUGGCGAAGGCGGAUUGCUGGACAGUAACUGACGCUGAGGCGCGAAAGCGUGGGGAGCAAACAGGAUUAGAUACCCUUGUAGUC
Molecule: ribosomal RNA, 443 nt
Filed under: uncultured bacterium
Lineage: Bacteria
Description: partial 16S ribosomal RNA
Rfam family: Bacterial small subunit ribosomal RNA
Source: RNAcentral